RNAcentral lists this ribosomal RNA (375 nucleotides) under uncultured Entrophospora. RNAcentral describes it as "uncultured Claroideoglomus partial 28S ribosomal RNA". Lineage: Eukaryota; Fungi; Glomeromycota; Glomeromycetes; Entrophosporales; Entrophosporaceae. The record is from RNAcentral.
GUGAAAUUGUUGAAAGGGAAACGAUUGAAGUCAGUCGUGCAGUCACUGACUCAACGGCUAUGUAGGAUCUAACACGGGAUGGCGAGCCUCAAAACCGCCAUCUUGUGUUAGAUCCUACAUAGCCGUGUAAUUUGGUGUCUGCUGGUCAGCGUCAAUUUCGAUUGUCAUAAAAAGGUCAGAGGGAUGUGGCUCUUUCGGGAGUGUUAUAACCUUUGGCGGAAUGUGGCGAUCGGGAUUGAGGUUUGCACGAUUAUAGUUUCCUGGCCUCUCGUCGACGUCUGAAUUGUGGAAGCUUGCUGAAGCAGUUUAGACCGUUAGUGAAAAGGUUGGAGCGACUAGAUCGUUAAGGAUGCUGACGUAAUGGCUUUAAACGAC